GCAUAUCAAUAAGCGGAAGAAAAGAAAACCAACAGGGAUUGCCCUAGUAACGGGCGAGUGAAGCGGCAACAGCUCAAAUUUGAAAUCUGGCUCUUUCAGAGUCCGAGUUGUAAUUUGCAGAGGGCGCUUUGGCUUUGGCAGCGGUCCAAGUUCCUUGGAACAGGACGUCACAGAGGGUGAGAAUCCCGUACGUGGUCGCUAGCUAUUGCCGUGUAAAGCCCCUUCGACGAGUCGAGUUGUUUGGGAAUGCAGCUCUAAAUGGGAGGUAAAUUUCUUCUAAAGCUAAAUAUUGGCCAGAGACCGAUAGCGCACAAGUAGAGUGAUCGAAAGAUGAAAAGCACUUUGGAAAGAGAGUCAAACAGCACGUGAAAUUGUUGAAAGGGAAGCGCUUGCAGCCAGACUUGCUUGCAGUUGCUCAUCCGGGCUUUUGCCCGGUGCACUCUUCUGCAGGCAGGCCAGCAUCAGUUUGGGCGGUGGGAUAAAGGUCUCUGUCAUGUACCUCUCUUCGGGGAGGCCUUAUAGGGGAGGCGACAUACCACCAGCCUAGACUGAGGUCCGCGCAUCUGCUAGGAUGCUGGCGUAAUGGCUGUAAGCGGCCCGUCUUGAAACACGGACCAAGGAGUCUAACAUCUAUGCGAGUGUUUGGGUGUCAAGCCCGAGCGCGUAAUGAAAGUGAACGGAGGUGGGAACCCGCAAGGGUGCACCAUCGACCGAUCCUGAAGUUUACGGAAGGAUUUGAGUAAGAGCAUGGCUGUUGGGACCCGAAAGAUGGUGAACUAUGCUUGAAUAGGGUGAAGCCAGAGGAAACUCUGGUGGAGGCUCGCAGCGGUUCUGACGUGCAAAUCGAUCGUCAAAUUUGGGCAUAGGGGCGAAAGACUAAUCGAACUAUCUAGUAGCUGGUUCCUGCCGAA
Molecule: ribosomal RNA, 911 nt
Filed under: Exserohilum rostratum
Lineage: Eukaryota; Fungi; Ascomycota; Dothideomycetes; Pleosporales; Pleosporaceae
Description: LSU rRNA
Rfam family: Eukaryotic large subunit ribosomal RNA
Source: RNAcentral